GACUAUACAAUUGCGUAAAGGGAGGCACAUCAGUAUGGAACGAAUAAGCAAAUUAAGUAGACUAGCUUUCAUCGACACAUACUGAAUGAGAUGUGAGUUUCUGGAGUUGUUGACCUUAUUCCAUAGAUAGUGAAGUGUCCUUAUGCAAAAUGAAAGAUAUAGAGAAUGGGUCGGCCAGGCAGGAAGGAGGCGCAACGCAUUCCUGGUUGUUUAGUGGGACAUUUUCAGCUGAGUAAUAAAACUUUACGACUGAAUCGGAAAUUGGAUUGGCUGUAACUUGACAUGUGACUCUCUCUCCAUGAACAACUUUAUACUGUUGUCUCCCCCUGAUUACUAUCUUUCUCAAUCGGUACACGACCUGGCCGUUUAAGCGACAGCAUUUUUCGCGUUCUAUACAGAAAUGUGCCUUAUUUUGCAGCACACCUACAUGUUUGCCAUUCCAUUUGACUGCUUCUCCUUCUCCCCUCCCUCUCUCGCUUUGUGUCUCUCCGUCCCUAUCCAGUGCUCCCCCUCACUCUCUCUCUCUCUCUCUCUCUCUCUCUCUCUCUCUCUCUCUUCCCCUUGCGCGCUCAUCGCUGUUAAAUCAGAAGUGGAACCUGAGUAGAUUACUCGGAUUCAGGUUGUGGAUUGUCAUACUUCAGAACCUGAAUAUCUUUCAUUUCGUUUUACAGCGUUGAACGGAAUACAAGCGACAUAUUGGAUAUUAACAAGUUGGGUUCCUCGGUCUCCUUGGUUUCCCUCCAGCGCUGGUAACCGCUGGACCAGUGGAUGUACGUCACUGUAGCAGCAAGGAGAACGUGGGAAUGUCACCUGAGAGGCAAAGUGAGGUGGAUCCUGUUCAGUGACAAAGACAGCAGAUGAGCCUAGCACACCUAUUCCUCUUGGACGACCACAUGGAUGGAUGCUGUGAGGAACCUGGCUCUUGGGCUCCACCUUGAUAUGAUUCUCUAAGGGAGAAUAUGACUGCAGCAGCACUUCACUCAGUGCUCUGACAAGGACCUAAGUGUAGAAGCUAUGGCCUGCACCUACCUCACUCCUGCAGCAAAUGGUGCAUCCUCUGAUCCCCUACAGUAAACAGAGCUUCAGCGAUGGGAAACAAGAGGAGCAAACAAGGCUGAACUCUAGAGCUUAAGGGGGGAUCGUUGUUGGAUCAGCAGUGAUUAUGAAUUAAGUGAUGUUGUCCGUCAGUACAUUAGGUUAUGAUUAGUGAGGGCCGUUGAGAGUAGAGUGCUACUCUCAGGAACUUGGACAAGGGCUAAUUGCUUCAGUACACUGAUCUUGCCAUCAGCCUCUUUUGGACUACACCUCUGAGGACUGUUGUCGACCGGCAGGCUAGUGAACUCUCCAGCUCCACGGACCCUUACCUGUUCCAGUCGGGUUAAUAUGAUAUGUGAUGCUACAGUUGGGACAUUGGUAGAAGCCUCUCACUAUGACAAGUACCUCUGAUAAGAUUGUUCUGAGGACACACAAAAUAUUUAGCUAUUUUGCGAACUACCAAUAUCUGCAGGCCCAUUGUGAUUCAUCAAGUGAGUUGUUUUCUCAUUGCUAAAUUAGAUGAAUGCAUUAAUUGUAUUUUGCUACAGUGUAUUAAGAUAUUCAUAUUGAAUACUGAAACAAUUUAUAUGUUAAACAUAUGUAUAUGUGUUUUAUACACCUGUGAUAAUGACACACCACCAAAUAUUAUGGAAGCCAUAAACUAUGGAAAAAACAGAUUCAAAUUAAAUUUGUUGUACAGAUUGUGAAAUUGUUUAUUAAAUGCUUUAAUAUGAGA
This is a long non-coding RNA of Salmo salar (Atlantic salmon), 1771 nucleotides long. RefSeq lists it as uncharacterized. NCBI's taxonomy places the organism in Eukaryota, Metazoa, Chordata, Actinopteri, Salmoniformes, Salmonidae. The record is from RefSeq and is a predicted model, not a curated record.